GGCUGCUGCUGCGGCGGCGGCGGCGGCGGCUGGCUCUGGGAAAGGCGCUUCCGCCUCGACCGGGAGCGCCCCGCCCAUACCGCCGCCGCCGCCGUACGCCUCUCAC
Molecule: non-coding RNA, 106 nt
Filed under: uncultured eukaryote
Lineage: Eukaryota
Source: RNAcentral